AAUGGACAUGAAAGAAGAGCGAGUCUGCGUCUUGAUAAGGAUGGAUUCCUGUACGUGCGGCACUCGAACGUCAAACCGUAUGUUCAACACAGUGCAAACUACAUAUUUUCU
RNAcentral lists this small nuclear RNA (111 nucleotides) under Blastocystis sp. ATCC 50177/Nand II. The record is from RNAcentral. Lineage: Eukaryota; Bigyra; Opalinata; Blastocystidae.